UGACAGUGGUAGACUGAGCUUCAGCGU
RNAcentral lists this small RNA (27 nucleotides) under Bombyx mori (domestic silkworm). RNAcentral's name for it is "ovarian small RNA-8070". Lineage: Eukaryota; Metazoa; Arthropoda; Insecta; Lepidoptera; Bombycidae. The record is from RNAcentral.